AGAAAGCAGUCGUUGGAAUAAGGAUAUCACCAUAGUGGGCAUGUGUCAUCUGGGUCGUGAACGCACGGUUCUUCUUCCAGUAGAGAGUUGCUCAACCUCGAAAAUAAAAAUUGAAACUUUUCCUCUCAAAAUCAGUUUAGUUUGCUUCAGCUUCAAUUCUUUGUUGGCUACUGAGCUUCUCUAGUUCUCCGUCUCCCUCGUCUUCUUUCUUGGGUACGAAACCCUUACGUGUACCGAUCAUGGGAGACGGUGAUUUAGACAGUCAAUCUCUCGGAGAGCAAUUUUCAUCUGUUUCAUCACAAUCUCGUCGGAAAUCUGUUCAUCAAGCUCUUGGCGGUGGCACAAUUGCGGAAGCGCUAUUGUGGAAACGAUGGAGUACAGGGGCUUUUCUGCUAGUAGCAACGACUGCCUUUUGGUUCAUGUUCGAAUGGGCUGGAUACGGUCUGUUAUCAUUUGCAGCUAAUGUGUUCUUGCUUCUGGUUACAAUCUUGUUCUUGUGGGGGAAGUCCGCUUCUCUCCUCAAUAGGCCUCUUCCUCCUCUUCCGGAUCUGGAAGUCUCCGAUGAUUUUGUUGUGAGAGCUGCGGAUGUAGCAAGAGCGUGGGCAAAUCGUGUACUGAAAGUUGCCCAUGAUAUCUCUCUGGGAGGAGAUGUGAAACUUUUCCUUCAGGUAAUUUUCAGCCUAUGGUUGAUUUCUUAUAUUGGGAGUCUCUUCAGCUUCCUCACUUUUGUCUAUAUUGGUGCUCUUAUAUCUCUCACUGUUCCUGCUUUGUACGACAAGUACCAGGAUCAUGUUGAUGACAAGCUGAAUAAAGCUCAUGAAGUCCUUUCAACACAUUACAGGAAAAUUGAUAACGUCUUAAGCAUGAUUCUCAGACCUGUAAACAAGGAAAAGAAGAUUCAAUAGCAUGAACAAUUGGGCUCAAAACAUGUCGUGGGAUUCAUACAUGUUGCAUUCAGAGGAGCGGCUAGGACAUCUGCAAUGGUACACAUCUCGUGGAUUGGAGCCACCUAGAAACUCUUGGUUUUUGUUAGCUGAGAUGCCACGUGGUUUCAUCGCCUUCUUCCUGGUACAGCAUACCUUUAACCAACACAAGUCAUCAUUCAUUGUGGGAGAAAUAUUGUUUGCCUGAUAUUGGUGCAUCUAGAAUCUUGAUGUAAUGAUUUCACUAGUUUUUUAUAUCUUUUUGGUUGAUUGUAAUUUCUUCCACACUUUCCCCCCAUUUUUUGUAUUACAAAACUAUAUUGUUUGUGCAUAUCCUUCUUUUCUGUUAAAAACCCUUCUUAAAGCUUAUGAAGUAUCAUUAGAGCAGAUCUGUAUCACAUUGAUGCACAAGUGCUCUUGUGCCAAUACAUUAAUGCAAAUGGAACUUAGAUCA
This is an RNA transcript of Macadamia integrifolia, 1377 nucleotides long. It is a transcript of the gene named reticulon-like protein B11, with no coding region annotated. The record is from RefSeq and is a predicted model, not a curated record. Lineage: Eukaryota; Viridiplantae; Streptophyta; Magnoliopsida; Proteales; Proteaceae. The transcript has 7 exons.